This is an RNA transcript of Apis mellifera (honey bee), 895 nucleotides long. RefSeq lists it as uncharacterized. NCBI's taxonomy places the organism in Eukaryota, Metazoa, Arthropoda, Insecta, Hymenoptera, Apidae. The record is from RefSeq and is a predicted model, not a curated record. The transcript is spliced from 3 exons.
AAUUAUAAUACUUUAGCAAAUAAAAGUUUUUUUUGUGUAUUUAGAGUUCUAAAUUAAGUCGAUUAAAUGAUCGAUUAUCGUUUUAUAGUACCUUCUUGCCAUGUCUAUUUUUGUUGUAACGUCCUUUUCGUUGCAAAUCGAUCAUAAUUUUGAAAAAUUCAAUCGUUUUCGUUAGGGAAGAAAACCUUUUUCUAUAGAAAAAAGACUGAUUUGGUUAUAUUAUGAUAAAUCAACAUUUGAGCCCGAAAUGAAUAGUUUGUUUUCAUGUUAAAGCACAACCGGCUGAUUUCAAGUGUGUUUAUACUUCGCUCUUAUUUUUUUUCUAUCUUUGUUGACCGAUCAUUUUACGUGCCAGAAACGCGCUAGCGUGUCGACCGGUAAGACGUAUGAAAUCGUAUAGUUCUUGUACUAAAAAUAAAAAAUCACUUUAAAUUCGUGAUAUCUCCAAAUUGUGCUACCAAUUAUUUUGCUUUUAAAUUUCCUUUUCGCAUUUAAAUUUAUGUGACAAUAAAUACGUAUUUAUACUACAGUGUUUUUCGCGAUUCGUUAUUUUGAAAGAACAAGUGGUUGUUAAAGGAAAAUACAAAAUGUAUUUCAAUUCAAAAUUUGGCAAUCGUAAUCCAAUGAGAAGGGCUAGAGGAAGAGGAAUAACACAAAGCAAUUUAUCUUCUAAUGAAUGUCUUUGUAAUAGACCACAUGGUUUUGUGCUCUGCAAUGUUUGUGGUUAUUUGACAAAGGGCAGAGUACGUUAUUUCUGUCCUAUUCAUCCACAGGUGUGUUGUCUUUGAGACAAUUUUUUUGCUUGACAUUGCUCAAUGUCCUCAAUGUAAGUCAUAUGGUUUUAUGUUGAGUGAAUAUUAAAUAUUAAAAAUAUAUUCUUUAUUUAAUUUAAUAU